Molecule: transfer RNA, 69 nt
Filed under: Ochrobactrum sp. MYb49
Lineage: Bacteria; Pseudomonadati; Pseudomonadota; Alphaproteobacteria; Hyphomicrobiales; Brucellaceae
Description: tRNA-Thr
Source: RNAcentral
GCCCCGAUAAUGUCAGGCACAUCAUUCGUAAUGAUGGGGUCAGGUGUUCGAGUCACCUAAGCGGCACCA